GCAAACUUGGUCAUUUAGAGGAAGUAAAAGUCGUAACAAGGUUUCCGUAGGUGAACCUGCGGAAGGAUCAUUCAAAAUAAAAGUGAAUUUUUUUAUGGCACUUUUAAAACAAUCCAUAUCCACCUUGUGUGCAAUGUUUUUUUUAAAAGAAAGGUCUUGUAAAAGGGACUUUUUUUUUAUAUAUUAACUAUUACAAACUCAUUUUAAAAGAAAUCAUGUCUGAAAAUAAUUAUUAUUGAAUAACUUAAUUCAAAAAUAUAACUUUCAACAACGGAUCUCUUGGCUCUCGCAUCGAUGAAGAACGCAGC
This 308-nucleotide unclassified non-coding RNA is filed under the name uncultured fungus. RNAcentral's name for it is "partial contains small subunit ribosomal RNA, internal transcribed spacer 1, and 5.8S ribosomal RNA". The stretch from base 1 to 73 matches the Rfam family "Eukaryotic small subunit ribosomal RNA", at positions 1759 to 1831 of the family's 1831-position model. The record is from RNAcentral. Lineage: Eukaryota; Fungi.